RNAcentral lists this ribosomal RNA (114 nucleotides) under uncultured bacterium. Its description in RNAcentral is "partial 16S ribosomal RNA". It matches the Rfam family "Bacterial small subunit ribosomal RNA", at positions 1369 to 1482 of the family's 1533-position model. The record is from RNAcentral.
CGUUCCCGGGUCUUGUACACACCGCCCGUCACNCCGUGGGAGCGGGAUGUACCAGAAGUAGGUAGGCUAACCGCAAGGGGGCCGCUUACCACGGUGCGUUUCGUGACUGGGGUG